RNAcentral lists this long non-coding RNA (379 nucleotides) under Carica papaya (papaya). Its description in RNAcentral is "long non-coding RNA (CPAP_LNC016298)". Lineage: Eukaryota; Viridiplantae; Streptophyta; Magnoliopsida; Brassicales; Caricaceae. The record is from RNAcentral.
UCAACUAGACUUUAUUUGGGAGAAACUCCCAUUCGAACCCUCUGAUAUUUGGUGCACUCUACUGACUGAGCAUGGGUCAGCUGUUCCACAUCACACGGUCAACAUAGGCCAUACACACACCACAACGAGAGAUCAUCAACACAGAAAAAUAUGUUUUAGUUCUAUCUCAAUCCCAUCCUACAUCUAGCGUCUAGUUUGAAUCAUUUAUCCCUCCCAAUUUUGACUCAUUUCUACCCAACAUAUUCUAGAUUCAACACUCAACUCCCUUCAAGGCUUACUUCAGCAGUCCUAGUCUAGUAUCAUUCCCAUCAAUAAAUAUUUAAAUUAAUUAUGUGAGUCAUCUGAGAGUUUCCUUCAACCUAACUUUAUUUGGUUCACU